UAAGACAGAGGUGCCGAGCGUUAGGCGGAAUCACUGGGCUUAAAGCGUGUGUAGGCGGGCCGUUAAGUGUCUUGUGAAAUCCCCCGGCUCAACCGGGGAAUUGCUGGGCAUACUGGCGGUCUUGAGCAGUCUAGGGGCAGAUGGAACAAGUGGUGGAGCGGUGAAAUGCGUAGAUAUCACUUGGAACGCCAAUGGUGAAGACAGUCUGCUGGGGACUUGCUGACGCUGAGACACGAAAGCCAGGGGAGCGAACGGGAUUAGAUACCCCGGUAGUCCUGGCCCUAAACGAUGUCGACUAGAUCGCAGGAGCUCUGACGCUUUUGCGGUCGUAGCAAAAGUGCUAAGUCGACCGCCUGGGAAGUACGGUCGCAAGGCUA
This 377-nucleotide ribosomal RNA is filed under the name uncultured bacterium. RNAcentral's name for it is "bacterial SSU rRNA". It matches the Rfam family "Bacterial small subunit ribosomal RNA", at positions 521 to 896 of the family's 1533-position model. The record is from RNAcentral.